This 521-nucleotide ribosomal RNA is filed under the name uncultured Diversispora. Its description in RNAcentral is "SSU rRNA". It matches the Rfam family "Eukaryotic small subunit ribosomal RNA", at positions 571 to 1092 of the family's 1831-position model. Lineage: Eukaryota; Fungi; Glomeromycota; Glomeromycetes; Diversisporales; Diversisporaceae. The record is from RNAcentral.
CAGCCGCGUAAUUCCAGCUCCAAUAGCGUAUAUUAAAGUUGUUGCAGUUAAAAAGCUCGUAGUUGAACUUCGGGGUCUACCCAUUGGUCAGGCUUAAUUGUCUGCACUGGUGAGAUGGAUCUCUACCUUCUGAGGAACUUUCAUGCCAUUUAUUUGGUGUGAUGGGAAAUCAGGACUGUUACUUUGAAAAAAUUAGAGUGUUUAAAGCAGACUAUCGUCUGAAUACAUUAGCAUGGAAUAAUGAAAUAGGACGGACUGAUUCUAUUUCGUUGGUUUCUAGGAUCACCGUAAUGAUUAAUAGGGAUAGUUGGGGGCAUUAGUAUUCAAUUGUCAGAGGUGAAAUUCUUGGAUUUAUUGAAGACUAACUACUGCGAAAGCAUUUGCCAAGGAUGUUUUCAUUAAUCAAGAACGAAAGUUAGGGGAUCGAAGACGAUCAGAUACCGUCGUAGUCUUAACCAUAAACUAUGCCGACUAGGGAUCGGACGAAGUUAAUUUUAUAAUGACGCGUUCGGCACCUUACG